Molecule: long non-coding RNA, 469 nt
Filed under: Malus domestica (apple)
Lineage: Eukaryota; Viridiplantae; Streptophyta; Magnoliopsida; Rosales; Rosaceae
Description: long non-coding RNA (MDOM_LNC013325)
Source: RNAcentral
GACAUGUUCUCUCCAAUUUUCUCCAAAACAAACCCUAAAUGAAUUUUGGCUAUAAAGUCAUAUUUAUAGCUUUAUUCAUUUGAGUGGCAAACUUGUAAAUAAGUCCAAGUUCACUACCCUUAACAAUAUGGUCGGCCUUAGGGUGUAUUUGGGUUGUUUGGGCCUUUGUGAAUAUUUAGUCAUUAAGUUGUCAUACAACUUAAGUCAAUGGGCUUGACGUUCGAAGCCCAUUGGGCCUUAAGGUCCAAAAACUAUCCCGAGGUCUUUAAUGAACUUAUUCGUUUGAUUAAUUAACAUAUUAAUUAAUCCUUGUCAUAAAUAAUUAAACCAUUUAAUUAUUCUUACUCAUCUCCAUUGUUUCUUCAAUCUUCACCUUACACGGUGUACGAUCCAUUAGGUUCCUUCUAGCGAGGCAGUGGGCGAUUAAAACCAUUUCACAUCGAUUGUGAAUUGAAACUUACUUUCAAUU